Molecule: ribosomal RNA, 253 nt
Filed under: uncultured bacterium
Lineage: Bacteria
Description: partial 16S ribosomal RNA
Rfam family: Bacterial small subunit ribosomal RNA
Source: RNAcentral
UACAGAGGUCUCAAGCGUUGUUCGGAUUCAUUGGGCGUAAAGGGUGCGUAGGCGGCGCGGUAAGUCGGGUGUGAAAUCUCGGAGCUUAACUCCGAAACUGCAUUCGAUACUGCCGUGCUUGAGGACUGGAGAGGAGACUGGAAUUUACGGUGUAGCGGUGAAAUGCGUAGAUAACGUAAGGAAGACCAGCGGCGAAGGCGGGUCUCUGGACAGUUCCUGACGCUGAGGCACGAAGGUCAGGGGAGCAAACGGG